Molecule: ribosomal RNA, 465 nt
Filed under: uncultured bacterium
Lineage: Bacteria
Description: partial 16S ribosomal RNA
Rfam family: Bacterial small subunit ribosomal RNA
Source: RNAcentral
GAUGAACGCUGGCGGCGUGCUUAACACAUGCAAGUCGAACGGAAAGACCCAAGCUUGCUUGGGUACUCGAGUGGCGAACGGGUGAGUAACACGUGGGUGAUCUGCCCUGCACUUCGGGAUAAGCCUGGGAAACUGGGUCUAAUACCGGAUAGGACCACAUUUUGGAUGGUGUGGUGGAAAGUUUUUCGGUGUGGGAUGAGCUCGCGGCCUAUCAGCUUGUUGGUGGGGUAAUGGCCUACCAAGGCGUCGACGGGUAGCCGGCCUGAGAGGGUGUACGGCCACAUUGGGACUGAGAUACGGCCCAGACUCCUACGGGAGGCAGCAGUGGGGAAUAUUGCACAAUGGGCGCAAGCCUGAUGCAGCGACGCCGCGUGGGGGAUGACGGCCUUCGGGUUGUAAACUCCUUUCGCUAGGGACGAAGCGUUAUGUGACGGUACCUGGAGAAGAAGCACCGGCUAACUACGU